AAGGAGGGGGGGAGGUCUCUCAGUCCGGAUUGCAAGAGGGCACAGGCCAGGCUGAGGGACCCCACCGGUGUAGA
RNAcentral lists this microRNA precursor (74 nucleotides) under Myotis davidii. Its description in RNAcentral is "mir-9193 microRNA precursor family". It matches the Rfam family "mir-9193 microRNA precursor family". The record is from Rfam by way of RNAcentral. Lineage: Eukaryota; Metazoa; Chordata; Mammalia; Chiroptera; Vespertilionidae.